Molecule: ribosomal RNA, 253 nt
Filed under: uncultured bacterium
Lineage: Bacteria
Description: partial 16S ribosomal RNA
Rfam family: Bacterial small subunit ribosomal RNA
Source: RNAcentral
UACGGAGGGUGCAAGCGUUAUCCGGAUUCACUGGGUUUAAAGGGUGCGUAGGCGGAUAAGUAAGUCAGUGGUGAAAUCUCCGGGCUUAACUCGGAAACUGCCGUUGAUACUAUUUAUCUUGAAUAUCAUGGAGGUAAGCGGAAUAUGUCAUGUAGCGGUGAAAUGCUUAGAUAUGACAUAGAACACCGAUAGCGAAGGCAGCUUACUACAUGUUAAUUGACGCUGAGGCACGAAAGCGUGGGGAGCAAACAGG